Long non-coding RNA from Physella acuta, 397 nucleotides. RefSeq lists it as uncharacterized. The record is from RefSeq and is a predicted model, not a curated record. Lineage: Eukaryota; Metazoa; Mollusca; Gastropoda; Physidae.
CACUACCUUAGCAUUCAGUGUGAAGCUGUCAAAGUGCAAACACGAACAUGUUGAACAUUAAAGGUGCUGUGUUCCUGAUGGUAAUGCUUGCAACAGCCACUUCGUUCAUGUUGACCAACAGAGCGGAACAGCAAGAGAACCGUUUGAUUAUAUAUUGCCUGGGACAAUAUGAAAGUUGUGCUGGUACCAGCUUCAAAUGUUGCGAUGGAUAUACAUGCAAAACCAACAGUGAGGGUUUGGCCUGGUGUAAUGAUUAAAAGUGGCAGACAAAUUAGGUUGCAAUAUUCUUAUUUUUGGCAUCAAGCAAGAGCGCAAGCAACUUCAGUGUUUUGCAGUUUAUUUAAUUACUGGCAUGAUUUAAUGAAAGAAAAAACUUUUGGGCUUUAUUAAGUAGUGA